GUCACUUUGGCCGAGUGGUUAAGGCGCGCCCCUGCUAUACUCUCUUGCAUCCUUCGGACUGCUUAGAUCACCUAGCUAAUCAGGGCGUUUCUUCGGAAGCGUAGGUUCGAAUCCUGCAGGUGACG
Molecule: non-coding RNA, 125 nt
Organism: Podospora australis
Lineage: Eukaryota; Fungi; Ascomycota; Sordariomycetes; Sordariales; Podosporaceae
Source: the annotation of a GenBank genome assembly